ACUAUUAUUACACAACAUCUCUUACCAAAUCAGAUCAUCUUCGAUAAGAAGAAUCACUGUCAACUAUUCCAGCUUGCACCAACCUCAUCAACUUUCCUGAACACUCCUCGACCACUGGAUCCUCAUCUCUGUCACCUCGCCUAGCAUUAGCCUUACUCACAAUCUCAAUCAAUCAUCUCCUCUUUAAGCCUUUCUGAAAUGGUUAGAAAGGAAUAGCAAGGGUGAGCAACAAUGCUCAGCAAGUAAUAAUAAACAAUGAUAGUUCUGAAAUGAUAUAAUAGAAUUUCACGAGUUCAAGAUAUAAAAGGGUUCAACCUGAGUUCACGAGUUUAGGUAUUGUAUAAGAACACCACAAUACCUUGCAGCAAUUGAAUACUGAGGAAUUCAAUCUUUCCAAAAGAAUUAUUGAAUUGGACUAUCACAUUUUAAUUAAAACCAAGGUUAGGCAGCUGAUCAGUUCCGCACUAACCCCGAGCAGGCCCCGCCAUGCUCUAUCACUGGAUCCAAGGCACUCAUUGGCCUAACAUGACCACGAAUCUGGUCCACAGGUUUAUAUAAAAACAAUAAUCCAAUUCUCUAAUUCAAUUCAAGAAGCCAAUGUAAAUCAACAGAACAUCAUCAUAAUCAUCAUCAACAACUGAAUAAUUUCAAAUCAAACUUUGAUAAUAAACUUUUCAUAAGUCACAGUCCAUUCUUUCAUAAAUCAUCGUUCAGGAAAUCCCUAACUAUUCAAUAUCCUCCAUUAUCUGCUAAGCAACUGAAUUUAGCCUGCUAAACCAGCAUGACAAUGGCGGGUUGAAUAAUCAAGAAGAUCCCAAUUCAUUCAAAGCUCUAACUAUCACUGAGCAACACAUGCUUCAAUGACAAUCUGAACUUCGAAUUAAUUUGUAAAACGGAAAUUCUUUAGAAACCUGAAGAUUAGAAAGAAUGGUUCAGAAUACUCGCACUUUCGAACAUUGAAAAGAAAGGUAUGAAUACUUGAAACAUAUACCAAAGGAAUGGAUCAGAAUAUUUGCAAUAUAUCCAAGAGAAAGGUUUAGGAUACUUGCAACACAUCAAAAGAAUGAAUCAGAAUAUUUGCAAUAUAUCCAAAAGCAGGGUGCAGGAUACUUGCCUUAAAUCUGACUCCAGUCUCACAUCUCAAUCUCAUCUUUCCACUUUCACAAUCUAUGCAUCUCAUAGUCUCUAGACCAUCUCUGGCUAUACUCUAUCUACCGUACAUCUUCGCUUCGCUUACUCGAUUCAUCCCUUAUUCGCUUUGCAAUACCAUUCUGACUUUUUGACGUCUUCUAGCGUACACGUCUCCUCCAAAUCCUUUACGAGAAUAAGAUAAUACUAUAGUCACUAAACAAUAUAUCGCAUAGGUUCAUCCCUUAUUCGCUUUGCAAUACCAUUUCGACUUCCUGACGUCUUCGAGCGUACACGUCUCGUCCAAAUCCUUUACGAGAAUAAGAUAAUACUAUAGUCACUAAACAAUAUAUCGCAUAUACAUAUCACGUAUACCGAUACCCACUUAUAUACCCCUCUUUAAACUUAUCACAUAUCACUUAACACAUAAUCAUGCUUUGACUCUACCAAAUAGUCAAGUCAUAUUCCACAUAACAUAUUAUCAAUCAAUUAUCCUAUAAAUCUUAUCGAUAAUUUGACAGCGUCUCCUCUAUUUAUUAGAGUAUCCCCCUGUCAACAUAUUCCAAACAAUCAACUCCAGUCACUAUAAUCCAUAUAUUCUUAUCCAAUAUCAAUCAUACGAAUCAUUUAUCACUUCACAAUAUCAAAACUAACACGUACUUCACAUAAUCAUCACCUAAUAGCACUUAGAUCACAUAUUAUCACAUUAUGCAUACUUAUCAACAAUUAUUCACCUUAUAGACUCAGCCAUAUAGUCACAUCAUAUUAAAAUAGACGUUAUAAGCUUCUGUCUCUCUUUCGUUUCACUUGAUUCCGACUUACGGAUCAAAAGUUAUGCUCAAAACAGUUUUCUCACUCUCCUAUCGGCACAUAACACAUCCAACCAAUAGCAGACAACACACAACACAUAAGGUUUCCCAUCCCAAUUGAUAUUAAAUCAAGUCUUGGGUUAAAAAUGAUUUUUCGGGAAUUUUCCAGAAUUUUUAAACAUUUUUCGGAAUUAAAAUCGAUAAAAGAAUCACUUUUUGAAUAAAUAAUCAAGUCCGGAUGCUCAAAACUGGACUUGAAAUCAUUCAUAAACAAUUGUCGAGCCUUGAACAUAAUUUGGAAAAAUAUUUUAAAGCUCGAAACUAUUUUUCGGAAUUUUUAAAUCAAAAAGGAUUAAUUAAAUCCAAUUAAUUAAUCAAUUAAAAUCAAUUAAUAAUUAAUUAAAAUAAUUAAUCAAUUAAUAUUUAAAUUAAUUGACCAAUUAAAAUAAUUAAUUACUAAUUAAAAUUAAUUAACAAACUAAUUUAGAUUUAUUUUUGAAUAAAGAAAUAAUUAAAAACUAUUUUUGAAAUUUAAAAUAAUUAAAUAAAAACAUUUUUGAAAAUAUUUUGUAAAAGGUUUAAACUGUAAAAAUCUAAAAGUUUGCACUCGGGGUGCAAUGUGUCAAAUUCAAAAGUUUCAGGGUCGAAAACGUUUAAUAUGAAACUCGGGUACGAAGACUUCACCGUUUCCAAAAGUUGGGGGUACUAAACGGCACUUUUGCACCGCCUUCCCCCCGACUUCGCCGGAAACGGCGUCUUCCACCUCCGUUCUUUACCCAAAUCACCCAGAACUCAAGCUUAAGCCACCAGGAAGCUGAUGAACAGAUCAAUUUGCUCAAAAGCACGACCAUUUGGCCGUAUUUUCGAAACAAAAAUCACGCCGCCGCCAAGUUCUUCAACUCCGGCGAGGCUGCUACAAACCUCCUCCAUCAAAACCGAUCACACCAAUCGAUUCUACACAACCCACCGAACAUGUUCCAAUCAUCAAAACUCACCUAGACUUAACCGAACUCAGAAAUCGAAUUUUCAAUUAAAAGCUUCAAGAACAAACGAAGAACAUUCAAGCACAUACAAUCUCAGAAUCAACCUAACGUUUCAAUAUGAUUCCGAACUCCAAAUUCAACAAAUAAUAUACCAAAACGACGAGAAAAACACGCUCUACAACAUGGCAUCAUCAAAUCAAUCAAACAAGAUCAGUUACAAAAAUUUAUCAUUUAAAAAUCAAAUAAUUCGAAUUUUAUAAAAAUAAUCUAAAAUCACCUGUUGAAUCUGCACACAAACGGAUGAUUAAACUAGAUUCUACGCGUCGAUAGCUUCGUUUUGACUAUUCAUACGCCUCCAUCGGAUUCCAAUAACACCUCCAAAUCUUCGUUUGAUUAUGAAGAACACGAAGAACAUACUUCGGUUUCUCUCGGUAUUCGUGCAAAGAAACUGGUGAAAAUGAUUUUUUACGGUGAAAAUAAGUUACAAGAAAGUCUAUUUAUAUUUACAAAUAAUUGGUACCCCUUUGGAUCGUUUAUGACAUGAAAAUACGUAUUAAUAGCUUUAUAUUAAUAAAGCGGGGUCCAAUCGGUACUGGUUUUUGAGAUAAUCAUCA
Molecule: long non-coding RNA, 3534 nt
Filed under: Daucus carota (carrot)
Lineage: Eukaryota; Viridiplantae; Streptophyta; Magnoliopsida; Apiales; Apiaceae
Description: long non-coding RNA (DCAR_LNC005765)
Source: RNAcentral